Gossypium raimondii (Peruvian cotton) is the source of this 144-nucleotide non-coding RNA. NCBI's taxonomy places the organism in Eukaryota, Viridiplantae, Streptophyta, Magnoliopsida, Malvales, Malvaceae. The record is from Rfam.
UGUUAAAAAUUUAACCUAUUCUUAUAGUUAAAAAUUAGUGUGAUUAACGGAAUAACCAAACAAUUACACCUGUAUACCAUGAGUAUCUCAUGUUGACGUAUAUGAACUAAUUUUUAACAAUAGAAAUAGAUGAGAUUUAUAAUA